This 590-nucleotide long non-coding RNA is filed under the name Homo sapiens (human). Its description in RNAcentral is "non-protein coding lnc-CASP8AP2-10:1". Lineage: Eukaryota; Metazoa; Chordata; Mammalia; Primates; Hominidae. The record is from RNAcentral.
CCGAGAUCGUGCAGCUGCACUCCAGCCGCGCGACACAGCAGACUUUUACUGUCUCAAAAAAAGAAAGAAAAGCUGAUUCUCCCCUUCUUGUUAGCGGUGGCAGUUACCCCCUGUAUAGGUAGGGGUCAGCAGUAACCUUAGUUCUUGCCUCCUCAGAAGAAAUAAUUCCACGAAGGGCAUAAGGCAGGAUAGACCUAGACAAGUUUCAGAAUAGAAGUAAAAGUUUAUCAAAAAGCUUUAGAACGGGACGGAAAGAAAAGGAGGAAAGUACAACUUGGAAGACUGCCAAGCAGGCGACUUGAGAAACCAAGUGCGCAGCUUGACCUGUUGACUUGAAGUUUUAUAUGUUGGCAUACUUUGGGGAACUUGCAUUGCUUCUCCCCACUCCUGAGAUCUUACUGGGAAGCUACUGAUCAGUUUCAGGUGUUUUCUAUUAGGAGACUGCCUUUCGCUGGCCCCGGUGAACGUUAGAGAAACAGUUAAGAACCGCCUGACCAUCGUUUGAUUGUCACCCAAUAGUCCUGGUAUGUGUGGGGUGGGGAGCGCUCUCCUGUUCUGCUCAUACCUAACUAGUUAACAUUCUGCCCCAG